This 468-nucleotide ribosomal RNA is filed under the name uncultured bacterium. Its description in RNAcentral is "partial 16S ribosomal RNA". It matches the Rfam family "Bacterial small subunit ribosomal RNA", at positions 28 to 507 of the family's 1533-position model. The record is from RNAcentral.
GACGAACGCUGGCGGCGUGCUUAACACAUGCAAGUCGAACGGAAAGGCCCUGCUUUUGUGGGGUGCUCGAGUGGCGAACGGGUGAGUAACACGUGAGUAACCUGCCCUUGACUUUGGGAUAACUUCAGGAAACUGGGGCUAAUACCGGAUAGGAGCUCCUGCUGCAUGGUGGGGGUUGGAAAGUUUCGGCGGUUGGGGAUGGACUCGCGGCUUAUCAGCUUGUUGGUGGGGUAGUGGCUUACCAAGGCUUUGACGGGUAGCCGGCCUGCGAGGGUGACCGGCGACAUUGGGACUGAGGUGCGGCACAGACUGGUACGGGAGGGAGAAGUGCGAAAUACUGCACGAUGGGCGGAGGGCUGAUGCAGAAACGCCGCGUGCGGGAUGACGGCCUUCGGGUUGUAAACCGCUUUCGCAUGUGACGAAGCGUGAGUGACGGGAAUGGGUACAGAAGCACCGGCUAACUACGUG